ACACCGCCAAAAGAUAAGGCUUUUUGCUUUACAUUUAUUUCGGUCAUUCCCCAGCGACACUUCUUCUUCUUCUUUUGGUGGGAGGUUUCAGAGAUCUGUUCUUGGAUUUGUGAAAGUGGAAGGAAGGUUUGAUCGAGAUUUUGAUACAUCAGGUAAUGGUGAUAGGAUUAACGACAUAAAUUGAGGAUAGGGUUUUGAUGUAUUGAAUUGAGAAAUUACAGAAGAAUAAAAGGGGAUCUUGAUUUUCGAUUUUGGUUAAGACCAUGAAGAAGAUUGAACUGUUUUUGAGUUCACGAAGUGUUGUCUAUGAAUUCUAGGGUAUGAAUCUGAUGAAUUUUUAGAAGACGGAGGAGCUUCUCAACAACCAUGUCAGCGAAACAGGGAGAAGAACUAGAAAUUAGGGUUUCUGAGUGACAUAGAAAGAGGAUGUGUGCAGCGAAAUAAUGGGGGAAAAGAUGAAAUUGAAUGUGGGUUAAGCUGAAUUCGAGCUUAGAUUUGAUUUAGGAAGAAGAAUUUGAAUGAGGAGGAGAGAUUUAGGAGAGAAGCUUGUUCUUGUUUCUGUAGUAAGCAUUACAAUGGCGAUUUGUAGUAGAAUCAUCAAGAAAUCUGCAUCUUCAAUAGCAAAUAGGAAUGGCAAGGUGAUGAUGAUGAUCUCGAUAAGAACGGUUUCGGGAAACAAAGGCACAAUCAGGAUGUUGGGUCAAAAACAAAAGAAAUGCGUAGAACGAAGAGCCAAGGUUGCGGUUUUAUGUCAGAGUAAUGUUGAUAGCAUGGAAAAACGGAAAUGAAGUACAUGUUAAAGACUGUAAACUUUUGUACUUCCCUUUUAGUUUUCUUCUGUAAAUAUACUUCCUUCACAAUUUGAUGUGUAUAGUAUAAUGUUUCUUAUUUCCCUUGUAUGUUGGAUUUAAUAAAUUGCACAAACGGGGUUUAGUUUUUCCUUUCCUGUGUAUCUGGGGCGGGUCUUUUUGUACUUUAAUGGCUUUACUUCUUUCUAGGCUUCACGUUUUGCCGUGACAUACUUCCAUUACGAUUAGAUUGAAGAUUACUUUUGUCUUCAAAUAAACUGUCAUCAAGAAUGUUAGUAUAACUGAGAAGAAGUGCGAAAAUCUUGGACUUGGAUGAGCAGAGUGCAACAAGCUUAUAACGAGUAAAAUUGAUGGAGUUAAUGUUGCUGCCAUGGUUUGAGCAGCUACAGAUGAUGGUGCAGGUGAAUGGAGAUAGGUGAACCUGAACUAUAGCCGUGGAAUUGAAUCAAGGAAGAAAGAUUAGGUCACAGGGUUGAAAUUAUGAAAACUGUUUGGUGUAUUGGGUUGGAAACUUAACAAAAAAACAGCCAUAACUCGGCCGGGUUCCGAUUCAGGCGAGUUGAUCCGACGAUCCAGUUAUAGAACUCAGAUGGACUUGGACCUAUUUACUGGGCUUGACUCAUAGGUCGUUUGAGGAUUGGAUUUUGGCCGUGAGCUAAAUUUAGAACUUGGCAACAGUAUAAGAGCAGAUACCUCUCUACGGAGAUUUUUUAUUUCAUUUUUUUGUAAACUCGGUCAUUUCGCUUUACAAAUUUAUAAGUCCAGCACAGUGCCAUUAUAAAAGAACUAAAUCGUGAGUACAAAAUUUAGUUGUGCACCAAUUUUUUCGAUGGGCCGUCCACCGUGGCAGCGGUCAACUAGUUUAUUUACGGUUGAUCAUAUUUUUGUUAAUGUACAAAUGUGAUAUUUUGGUUAACA
Papaver somniferum (opium poppy) is the source of this 1727-nucleotide long non-coding RNA. RefSeq lists it as uncharacterized. The record is from RefSeq and is a predicted model, not a curated record. The transcript is spliced from 3 exons. NCBI's taxonomy places the organism in Eukaryota, Viridiplantae, Streptophyta, Magnoliopsida, Ranunculales, Papaveraceae.